This 253-nucleotide ribosomal RNA is filed under the name uncultured bacterium. RNAcentral describes it as "partial 16S ribosomal RNA". It matches the Rfam family "Bacterial small subunit ribosomal RNA", at positions 524 to 776 of the family's 1533-position model. The record is from RNAcentral.
UACGUAGGGUGCGAGCGUUGUCCGGAAUUAUUGGGCGUAAAGGGCUCGUAGGCGGUUUGUCGCGUCGGGAGUGAAAACCAUGGGCUUAACUCAUGGCUUGCUUUCGAUACGGGCAGACUAGAGGUAUGCAGGGGAGAACGGAAUUCCUGGUGUAGCGGUGAAAUGCGCAGAUAUCAGGAGGAACACCGGUGGCGAAGGCGGUUCUCUGGGCAUGACCUGACGCUGAGGAGCGAAAGUGUGGGGAGCGAACAGG